Molecule: long non-coding RNA, 1553 nt
Organism: Equus quagga
Lineage: Eukaryota; Metazoa; Chordata; Mammalia; Perissodactyla; Equidae
Exons: 2
Source: RefSeq, a predicted model, not a curated record
AUUUCAGCUCAGGGACAAUCUUUCUCAGCAAAAUGAGGAAGGUUAGCGGCGGAUGUUAGCUCAGGGCUACUCUUACUCAAGAAAAAUAUAAAUAAAUAAAUAAAAAUGUAAAAAAUCAGUCUCAUUAUAGGUAUUAGUUUACUUUUUGACUCUGUGUUCUGUUCCAUCGAUCUGUUGACUUAACAUUACACCAAUUCCGUACUGCUUUGAACAAAAUAACUCUCUAAUAGUUCUUGAAAUGAGGUAGAGCUGGCCCUCCAACAUUGUAUUUUCAUUUUAUAAAUGUUUUCACUACGCUAGAUCUUUGUCAUUUUAUAUUCAUUUAGAAUCACAUCAUUCCUGUCUCCCUAAGAUGCUGACUGAGAUUUGAGUUGGCUGGGGUUGGAUCUAUAGACCCAAUUGGGGAAAACUGACAUCUCAAAAAUAAUGAGUCUUCUGACCCACGAACAGGGAAUUGGUCUUCAUGUUUUAGGUCGUCAUCAAUUUCUUUCACCAACGUCCUGUACUUUCGUUUGUUUGACGCUAUUAUUUCUUACAUUUCAGUUGUGCACUGGAAUUACAUAGACAUGAAAUAGAUUUUUGUAUAUUGACCGCGUAUCCUGCUAGAAACAAAUGCUUCAGAAUCAAGCCAGAUCGGGCAGAGACCACAGUUUUGGGGACUUGUGUACUUGCCAGGUGUGUGUGCUGAUGUGCAGCUUCCUGACCUCCUUUGUAAAAGUGACUGUUGGUCCAAGAGAAUACAGAAUGAAUUCUAGACAGAAUGACCGCAGAUCCCUGGCUAAACAUUUAGUGUCCACGGGGUCCAAAAUUUUGCCAAACAUGUUUUUCUAAGAUGUCCUGUUCUUCUGAGCCAACUCGUUUGCGACUCCAAAAGCCUCAAGCCAUUUUCUCUGCCAUCUUGCGGCCACUGCCAUAAAAUCUGUUUUGCCUCUUACGGCACCCACAGUGGGAUUUGUUUUGUUUCGUGGCCCUAGAGACCCAGCCGUUUUCCCGGCUUGUUUAAGCGCAUGAAGGACCUCCUGCUUCUGUAAGAUCAGUGGAAAUCAGUGGCUCUCUUCGUUAUUUGGUCUAUGCAGUCAUCAUUUGGGUCAUUUGGGGAAGGUGUUGUUUUUACAAGUCAGUGAGUGCUGCUAAAUGCAAUUGAUUUUCUCUCACUACAUGACACUACACCCCAACCAUGGAUUGUAUUCCCGAAAACAUCACUCUCUGAGUGGGAUCUUGAAAGUUUUUGAGAUUCAUUGCCGAAUCACACAUUGUUCAGUCAUUUUGAGUCCAUCUCUCUGUUUUUUCUCUUGAUACGGCUACUAUGUAAAUAAGAUCUGUGAAAUGAAACACAGGAAGGAGGCCCAUGCCAAUAUUUGGGACACUCAACUAUGACGGUUGGUCACCAGGACACUCUCUGGAGGAGAUUCUCUAGACUUUUAGUGGUGAAUAAUGUCAUGGAAACAGAAGUCGAAUAAUAAUGAAGGAUAUUUGAAAUCUGUCGAAUGUUAUAAAUCAAUGUUACCUCAUUAAAAAUAAAAGAAAAAAAUUAAAAUGAAAGAAAAAGCCUA